UACGUAGGGUGCAAGCGUUGUCCGGAAUUAUUGGGCGUAAAGAGCUCGUAGGCGGUCUGUCGCGUCGGCUGUGAAAACUCGGGGCUCAACCCCGAGCCUGCAGUCGAUACGGGCAGACUAGAGUGCAGUAGGGGAGACUGGAAUUCCUGGUGUAGCGGUGAAAUGCGCAGAUAUCAGGAGGAACACCGGUGGCGAAGGCGGGUCUCUGGACAGUUCCUGACGCUGAGGCACGAAGGCCAGGGGAGCAAACGGG
This 253-nucleotide ribosomal RNA is filed under the name uncultured bacterium. RNAcentral describes it as "partial 16S ribosomal RNA". It matches the Rfam family "Bacterial small subunit ribosomal RNA", at positions 524 to 776 of the family's 1533-position model. The record is from RNAcentral.